Suricata suricatta (meerkat) is the source of this 644-nucleotide long non-coding RNA. RefSeq lists it as uncharacterized. The transcript is spliced from 5 exons. The record is from RefSeq and is a predicted model, not a curated record. Lineage: Eukaryota; Metazoa; Chordata; Mammalia; Carnivora; Herpestidae.
CUAAAAGGAGGGCGGCAAGGAUCACACCUGCAUGCAGUUCUCCUGCUGCUUGGUGCUGAGGCUCACUAGAGGCCAGCGAAGCCCGCUUGGUGCAUCAAGUUCGGAGACUGCUGGAUUCCUGGGAUGCCAGGGUCUUCCCCCACAGACCCCUGACGACCCAUCUUCCAAGACAGAGUUGGCUCAACACCAUGUCCGUGAUUUUGUGUAGCCCUCUCCACAGUCCCCGUGAAAGGAGUGCUGUUACCAUCUCUGUUCUACUGAGGAGACUGAGCUGAUGAAGGGGACUGAGCCAGGUGCAGGCAGGAGGCCCUCAGCCCAGCACGGUCCAGCCUGGCCAGUGCGGCCGCAAUGGUGGCCCUGGAAAGAGCACGGAGAAGAUGAGAAACAGCGGUGGCAGGUGUCACAGCCUGACCAAAGAAGAGAGUCUGCUGAGAUUGGCCUCAUAACCCAAACCAGCUAACCUGAGGAGAAGGAGAGAGAAGGAAAAAGGGCAAAGCACCUACAAGGAUGAAGCUAAGGACAUGGGAGUCCAGAUGCACCCCUCCAGCCCCAACUCGGCACCACAUUGGGAAGCCCUCAGAAUUUGUUCCUGAAUUUGAACCAUGGUAGGACUCUGUCCCACAAUAAAAUCCAGAAUACCCUAA